UUCUUUUUUAAAAAAAAGAUUUUUCUGGCUUUAACCAAAAAAGGUUUAUUGUUAUUAUAAUUUAUUUUUUGGCUUGCACCAUCCCACGCUAUUGUUGAGUAAAUGUUCAUAAACCCUAAUACAAAAUCAGAAUUUGACGAAUCCAUGCUGUUGAGCUUCAAAGUUUAAAAUUCCCCUUCUCAUACUUCUCGCCAACCCAAUUUCAUAUAAAAUACAGGAGACGCUUCUUUGACGUUUGAGCUAAACAUUAUAUUUGAUGAUGUUCGAUAUUUCUAUCCAAAUCCGUCCAAGAAUCUGUUUUUCCACACUAUAUUUUAUUCAACCAGGUAAAACAUUAAGAGCUUUAUCUGUUUAUCAAUUUUAUUGGACGAUUUUUCGCUAGUCCGAAAAAGUUACGUUUUUUCCCUGGUUUUUACAUUCAUAAAGUUUUGACGCUUACUGCGUUCCUUCCAAUUUCGGGCUUGACAGCUGGAUUAGGUUAUAUUAUUAUUAUUAUUAUUAUUAUUAUUAUUAUUAUUAUUAUUAUUAUUAUUAUUAUUAUUAUUAUUAUUUCGUUAAGGCUUACUGAUUAGUUCAUUAAUUUCCAGUUAAUGCUUGUUGGAUGAUAUAUAUAUUUUUUAAUUUAUAUUUUCAAUUGGUAUCAUUAAUCUCAUGGUAUUUGAGGUUGAUGUAGAUUCAGCCCCGUUUGGUAGCUAUUUUCUUCAAAAUAUAUUUUUCUCCCUCUUUUUUUCAACCACACAUUCUUUAUUAAAAUAAUAUUAUACGUAAAUAAAAAUUUUUUCCUUAUUUUUCAACCACACAUUUAUAAUAAAUUUACUAUUCUAAAAUACAUUUUUACAUAAAAAUAUCUAUCAAACACCCCCUAAUCUUUCACUAUGCUGAUUUUUUCAGUGUAAAUAUAGAUUUUCUUGAUUUUGAAGUUCAGCACUUCAGUCAUAUUAACAUAUUUACAUUUAUUGAACGAGGAAUUGAGAUACAGGCUUCUAUUGAAGUCUGCUGGAUGAAUGAUGAAGUUUAUGGUUUUGUUUAAUUCCUUUUGUCAAUUUAAGCAAGUGAAGCAGCACUGUUGUAGUGUUCAUUGUGCUUUCAAGUUCCAGGAUGCAAUUGAGCUUGAUAUUAGGCUAUCACAAUUCAUCAUUGUUCUUGACAUUUUUGUUUAGUUUUUCUUCAUUCUAUAUUUUAAAAGGUUUUGGCAUAUCCUCUGAUUUUGUUUCUUCUUUGAGAGAGAAGAAAGAAUUCCAUACUUCAUUACUCCAUUUUGAUGUCAUAGGUUCCGCGUGUGGGUUAAACAGGAGAUUUGUGCUUUCAAGUUCCAGGAUGCAAUUGAGCUUGAUAUUAGGCUAUCACAAUUCAUCAUUGUUCUUGACAUUUUUGUUUAGUUUUUCUUCAUUCUAUAUUUUAAAAGGUUUUGGCAUAUCCUCUGAUUUUAUUUCUUCUUUGAGAGAGAAGAAAGAAUUCCAUACUUCAUUACUCCAUUUUGAUGUCAUAGGUUCCGCGUGUGGGUUAAACAGGAGACUUGCUGGGGUCAAUUUACAUAUUAUUAAUUUUCUAAGUAGGUUUUUGCACCUUUAAUUUAGGAACAUGAUACUUUCAGUUUAAAGGUUGUCUUUUAUAUUUACUCUGACAGUCACUUUUUCAUACAGAGGAGCACCUUUGUAUUGGGUUUUUUGUUUUUGUUUCUGUUAGUUUUUUAAUUGUGGAGAGAGUACAUUUUCUUUCUUGUAGUUUUUAAGCUCUGCACUGCUUUCUACUGUUGAAAAUUAAUUUGACACUAUUAAUUUCCAGGGAUUUAAGACCCUCUUGCUUCACUCAUACGUUUCAUUUUUCAGUAAGAUCUGUUUUAACACGUCAAAAUCAGAUUUAAUGGUUAAAGGUUUAAACAUACCUUUAACCAUUAAUGGAACUGAACCGAAACCCACCGGUCUGGUUCCUGUGCUGUGUAUGAAACCAUUGGUUCAGUCUGGUUCUCUUAAACUGGACAUGCCCACCCCUAAACCAUCGGUGCAGGGUAAGCCUUUAGCUUAAUAAUCUUCUCUCUGCAGAUAAAAACAUGUGCAUAUUUCUAUACAUGCUUAAAUACGUGUUUAUGUCAAGAUACAUGUACAUAUUUGGAUAUAUCUGCAUGUUAGUAUACCAAUAUCAGCCAGUAAUUAUUCCAGUAAGCUUUUCUUGUGAGCCCAUAAUUUAUUUUUAAUCCCUUUUACCUUUUGUUGGGAGCUUAAUUUUUUAUACCAUAUCGUUGUUACCAUGUUCAUAUUAUAAUUAAUAUUUUUGUUCCUGUUAUAUCAUCUUCAGCGCUCAGAAAACCAUUCUAACCAUUCAAAAAGUAAAAAUAAAAAGGAGAGAGGAUGGAAAAUGGUGGAGUCGUACAAAGUGAUAGGGCAAAAGAGAAAGAAGACAGAGAAGUACGAGAAGAAGAAUCUGAACAAUUAGAUGAAAGUGAUACACCACUUUCACCAAAGAAAAUAAAGGCAGAAGACUCAGAGUUAGACUAGGAGAAAGCAGAGCAAGUUAUUUAUGAAAUGCCCGGAAUCCCUAUUAUUCCGGCAGACAUGGGGCAAGUGACCUGGGGUUAUUUUUAUUUUAGAAAAGGCCUCUCUAGAAAUUGAGAAAGUUGGAAAGGUCUUUUUCUUUCUUUUUUUUUUUUGUUUGGUUGGGGUUUCUCUAUUUCUUCAGUAUUCUCUCUGUCCAAUUAUUGUCAUAAA
Molecule: long non-coding RNA, 2705 nt
Filed under: Olea europaea (common olive)
Lineage: Eukaryota; Viridiplantae; Streptophyta; Magnoliopsida; Lamiales; Oleaceae
Description: long non-coding RNA (OEUR_LNC009885)
Source: RNAcentral